This 525-nucleotide long non-coding RNA is filed under the name Homo sapiens (human). Its description in RNAcentral is "non-protein coding lnc-MANEA-6:1". Lineage: Eukaryota; Metazoa; Chordata; Mammalia; Primates; Hominidae. The record is from RNAcentral.
UCAGCAUCCCAGGUAGCUGGGAUUAACAGGUGCCCGCCACCAUGCCCAGCUAAUUUUUUCUAUUUUUAGUAGAGAUGGGUAAAAAAUCCUUAUGAUGCAAGAAUAAGUUGUCUCAUUUCCUUGGCUGAAUAUUACAGUUUCAGAAGUUAGGAAAGAGUCUUUCAUCCACGACUAAUCUUCUCCACCAAGUCACUGGCUUCAAAUUUUCUACUUGUUCUUGACACUUAGAAUUUUUUUCUCUCUCAUUUUUUCUCUCUCUCCCUCUCAGGCUACAUAGUAAAACCAAAUAUUUUAAAAUUACACCUGAUUUAGCAUUUCUUUGUGUGGGAGAGAGGCUGUGUAGCCACAUUAGUUAGUUCACCCAGAAUUGUGUUCAUCAGAAAUUUUCCCCGUAAAAUUUACAGUAGGGUUGAUAUGAAGAAUCAGUGCCUUUUCUUUCCUCCUGACUGGGCAUACCAGGUUGCACUGACAAUAUUUUCUAAAAUAGAUUGUAUUCUGUACCAGCAACUCGUUUCUUUAUUCUAU